GCUGUGAUGGCCGAGCGGUCUAAGGCGCUGGAAUUAGGCUCCAGUCUGUAAAAGGGCGGGGGUUCGAAUCCCUCUCGCAGCA
Molecule: transfer RNA, 82 nt
Filed under: Spraguea lophii 42_110
Lineage: Eukaryota; Fungi; Microsporidia; Spragueidae
Rfam family: tRNA
About the family: Transfer RNA (tRNA) molecules are approximately 80 nucleotides in length. Their secondary structure includes four short double-helical elements and three loops (D, anti-codon, and T loops). Further hydrogen bonds mediate the characteristic L-shaped molecular structure. tRNAs have two regions of fundamental functional importance: the anti-codon, which is responsible for specific mRNA codon recognition, and the 3' end, to which the tRNAs corresponding amino acid is attached (by aminoacyl-tRNA synthetases). tRNAs cope with the degeneracy of the genetic code in two manners: having more than one tRNA (with a specific anti-codon) for a particular amino acid; and 'wobble' base-pairing, i.e. permitting non-standard base-pairing at the 3rd anti-codon position.
Source: Rfam by way of RNAcentral